AUAAAACCAUACAUUGUGCAUCUCAAACCAUACCAAAAUACUGUGAGAAAACUGAGUCACAACUGUAUCAAAACAUAUCUAAGAAAACUGUAUCAACUCCCAGGACAAAAACUGAAGCUGUGGUGUGUGCGAUGCCAUCAUCCCAAGCUCUUCCCUUUACUUGCGGAAGUACCUGAAACCAAAACUGAAACUGUAAGCACGAAGCUUAGUGAGCUCCCCCAAACUACCACAUACCAUACAAUACAUAUAAGCACAUACUGGGCCUUGCCCACUGCAUCGGACCGAAGUCCGGAACUAGCUGCAUCGGACCGAAGUCCGGAACUGACUGCAUCGGACCGAAGUCCGAAACUACUGAUCAUAGCAUAGCAUAACACAUAUCAACUAACAUAACACAUAUACUGCAUACUGCGUCGGACCGUAGUCCAGAACAUAUAANCCUUUACUUGCGGAAGUACCUGAAACCAAAACUGAAACUGUAAGCACGAAGCUUAGUGAGCUCCCCCAAACUACCACAUACCAUACAAUACAUAUAAGCACAUACUGGGCCUUGCCCACUGCAUCGGACCGAAGUCCGGAACUAGCUGCAUCGGACCGAAGUCCGGAACUGACUGCAUCGGACCGAAGUCCG
RNAcentral lists this long non-coding RNA (628 nucleotides) under Lactuca sativa (garden lettuce). Its description in RNAcentral is "long non-coding RNA (LSAT_LNC001829)". Lineage: Eukaryota; Viridiplantae; Streptophyta; Magnoliopsida; Asterales; Asteraceae. The record is from RNAcentral.